Small nuclear RNA from Rattus norvegicus (Norway rat), 142 nucleotides. Ensembl annotates it as U4 spliceosomal RNA. Lineage: Eukaryota; Metazoa; Chordata; Mammalia; Rodentia; Muridae. The record is from Ensembl.
AGCUUUGCGCAGUGGCAGUAUCGUAGCCAAUGAGGUUUAUCCGAGGCGCGAUUAUUGCUAAUUGAAAAAGUUACUGUGUGAUAUGGCCCCAUUACACUUUCUUUGCUAAGUGUAAGAAAGAGUUUUUUUGCCCUCGAUGGGA